This 30-nucleotide non-coding RNA is filed under the name Mus musculus (house mouse). The record is from RNAcentral. Lineage: Eukaryota; Metazoa; Chordata; Mammalia; Rodentia; Muridae.
UGUCCAUUGGUUGGUGCAAAUAUCUGAUCU